UUAGAUGAAGUAGAGGAUUUUAUGAAGCUUGCAUCUGGCCUGCUGAUAAACAUGGGCACAUUAAGCAGCGAUUGGCUUGCAAGCAA
RNAcentral lists this non-coding RNA (86 nucleotides) under Dunaliella tertiolecta. The record is from RNAcentral. Lineage: Eukaryota; Viridiplantae; Chlorophyta; Chlorophyceae; Chlamydomonadales; Dunaliellaceae.